UAACAUAGAAAUUCAAAAAUAUACUAAAAUAUAAACCUUAAUUAAAAUUUAGUCAAAUUAAUCAAAUUCUAGUCAAAUCCUAGUCAAAUCCUAGUCAAAUCUUAACCAAAUCCUAAAUAAAUCGUAAUCAAAUCUUAACAAAUUCUAAACAAAUCUUAAUCAAAUCAUAGUCAAAUCCUAGAUAAAUUCUAAUAAAAUCCUAAAUAAAUCUUAACCAAAUCCUAAAAGAACCUUAAUCAAAUUCUAAUCAAAUCUUAAACAAAUUCUAAUCAAAUUCUAAACAAAUCCUAAAUAAAUCCUAAAUACAACUUAAUCAAAUCCUAAAC
Molecule: long non-coding RNA, 326 nt
Filed under: Physcomitrium patens
Lineage: Eukaryota; Viridiplantae; Streptophyta; Bryopsida; Funariales; Funariaceae
Description: long non-coding RNA (PPAT_LNC008061)
Source: RNAcentral